AGAAAAACGUUUCACUUUUACAGAGAAACCCUAUAGUCAUUUCAAUUCAGUCCGCACUCCUCCCCUUCGUCUUAUCCAUUCUGUCCUGCGCCGGCGACUUCGCCCAACCCGUCGUGCGCCAGCGGCCGCCAUGCCUCGCGCGGAAGGAUGGAGGGCGCUCGCCGUGAGGAUGGACGGCGCGGAGAGGCGCGCUCGCGCCCGAGCUCCUGUGCCCAUGCCUCGCGCCUCCUUGCACCGCUCCGGCAGCCCCUCGCCAUCCGCCGUCGUGGGCGACCACCAGCAGCGCCCGUCGCGCCUCUCCGCGCGCCACUCGGAGGCCCCAGCCAGGCCGCGCAGCCGUCCUCCUCCUCGACCUCGCCUCUCCGUGCGCCAACCGGCGCCGCCGCCGGCGGCCACGGGUCCAGCGCCGCCUUCGUCCUCCACCUUCUCCUAAAGCGCGCGUCCGCCGCGGGCGCUGGCGGUGGCGCGGCGGUCCUUGCCCUCGAUCUCACCGAGGAAGGCGUCCUUGCCGAGCAGCUCGACGAGAGCGCUGCCAAUGUCGCUGAACUGAAUCGCCAGCCAUCUCAGCCCACGUCUUUCAGCACGCAACCGGCGAACCCAUUCAGCAGCUCCUGGGCAAACAGCUUUGACCCCUGUUAACACGUUAUGAGGAUCCAUGGCCUCUUCUUCUAUUUCUUCAGUGCUACCAUCUUGAAACUGGUGCAGUUUCUGCUGCAUCUUCCUGACACUGGUCCUCAACUAGCUUAUUUUGCUCUUCUUUCUGAAGAUCCAUGGCCUGCUUUUCCAAUUGUUGAGUGGGUACAGAAGUCUUCAUAUCAUCACCUAAUUGAUUGCAAACAAAAUUCUCAUCACUUUCAGAUACGACAGUCAAGACACAUAAUGCGGGACACUGCAACUACAGAAAGGCAUGGGACACGCACGGAUUUAAGUCCAUGUCAGGGGCAUCACCUGUCUCAUGUUCGCAGGAGGAAGAAGCUCCAAGUUCGCCGGAGGUACACAAACAUCCGUUGAGCACUCCAAUGUCGCGGCGUCUACACCAGAGGUGCCAAAGGUGUCUCAGGUGGAGGCGAAGGAGGUUCUUCUAAUUCCUAAGGCACCAGACUGGACAUUCCUAUGUUGACUACCAUUUAUGGUCAAUAAAGUUGUCCGUGUUUGUUUUUGAUUGCUCAACUAAAUAUCUGAAGUCCAAUGAUGUAUGCAUUCAUGUUUCUCCUCUAAGGCACAAAGACUGGACAUUCCUAUGGUGACUAUAUCAUUCAUGCUCAAUAUAGUUGUCUGUAUUUGUUUUCAAUUGCUCACCUGAAUAUCUGAAGCCAAAUGUUUUUUUAUCAUUGGCUAUAUCAGAUAAUCCCAAUAGUCCCUAAUCUUGCAAAUCAUGUUUUUUUUGUUUAAAUUUAUCUUUCUCUUGAGAUAAUCUGAAGAAAUUUAAGUUGUUUCCAGUGGCAAAGAGCAUCAUAAACUAUUGUUACAAGUCUAUCAUAUAUUUCUCAAAUUUUAUAAGAUAUUCAUUGGCAUGCAUUUUAAAUGAUGAUUAAGGUAUUUCUCAGUAUGUUGUGUUAUUUCACUGAUGGGGGUUUGCACGUAUUCUGAUUUCUAAACAAAUCUCAAUUUCUCAAUUUCUUUGCAGAAACAAUAAUUAUCCAGAAGUAGCCUAAUUAUAUGUAUUUGUGUUCGCACAUAUACAUCGUAACUAUGCUAAGGGGUAUUUAUAUGAACUUGGUUCAGGGCCAACAAUACCAGCUGUAGUGCUGAAACAAGCACGAUUCCAUCAUUUGUUACCGGUUCCUUUUGCUCGAUAGCAGGCUCUUUUUGUUGGAUGUGGUAUAAUUAUAUGCCGACAGAUAUUGACAGGUGUAUAAUGUAGUAUAUAUUCCUAAUUCCUCCAAUGUCUUAAUAGCAUGAAGAAUGUAGCACUUCAGGUCCUCAUCAAGUAAGGUUUCCAUUUAAGCAUGGUGUCCAUGCAUGCUAUUGUUAACUUUGCUGACAAUGGCAGCUUAGUGAUCACCGUGUUUGUUAAAUUUAAUUUUCACCUCCGUGUAAUGUAUCAUAGUACUAUGCACAAAGAUACUUCAACACUAAAGCUCGCACCUAACUUGCUCGGGUCUCGGCUCAUGAUUCUUUCAACUUUCAUGUAGUGCUGCUGAAAUAUUAUGUAACACUCAAAUUUGAUGAUAUUUUUAAUGGGCACAACUGUGCCGGUAGAGGUUGACAGUUAAUGAAUUUUGUGAUAAUCUUCGGUUAUACUGUUAUAUAUAGCACUUUGCUGGUUAUAUGGUUCACAUUCUCUGAGCCAAUUCACAAUGACCAUUCCUGAUUUGGGCAUUAUGUUUUUAAAUCAUUUUGUAACAUUUUGGUUGAUUUUUUAUGCUGCUCCUUAAUUUUUUUCAUUGACUGGUGUUGAACUAAAUGAGUGUUGCCAUUCACAGGAUGCCCAGUACAACCGAAGAUGGGUUCCCGAUUGUUCCUAGAUAUUUCAGAGCAACUAGAGUGGUCUUACCUGACAAGCUCCAAUGUUGUGCUGAAGUAUUUUGAACAAGCUUGUCCUUUGCCUUAUGCUGGAACAAGGCACCUUCUAUUCCCCAUGGGCACCAAGAAUGCGAAAACAUUGAUGAUUCGAGCAAAUGUAAGUUCAGGCUUCAAGAUUGAGCCGAGCGCCCUACCAGCAGAUCUGGAUAAUGCAUACAAGAAUGAGAAAGCAUAUCAGCGAUUGGAUAUUUCUGGCCCUACAGUUAACCCUUUUGUUUUUUCCUGUACGGCGAGGGCGAGAUAAAAGAUAUGUUUUCUGUUUGUGCUGAGCAUGGAGCUUGGGUAGUGAUAGACACCUUCUCUGGUCUGGAGUUCCACAACAGAGAUGGCUGGAUUUUGCGGAACGGGAGGAUAUUUUCACAAGCCCAAACCGACCACAUAGCACUUUGAAAUGCACUUAUAGGAAGUUGUUGGUUUUGAAAAACAAGAGGGAUCAACAUUUCUCUAAUCUCAUCACGCCAACAAACUGACGAAGACACUCGAGAGCUGUGGUUGGGAUGUCGCCACGUACCACUGUGGGAUGUCGCCAGGUACCACUGUGACACGCGUACAUCGGCAAAUCGUUCAGGGUGGAUGAUUUUGAAGGCGAGCUCGACGGCUGCAAUAUCAGGGAAGCCCUACUGAACUACUGCAGGUUCAGCUUACCAUGUAGUAUUUUCUUUACAACAAGGCCUCACACGAGCAAAACUGUCAUCUUGUUGUUUAGUUUUGGCCCGGGACUGCAAUUUUUUCCCUUAUUGCAUUCUUUAGUGCAUAAAAUAAAAUAUAUAAUGUGCAUAAAAGCCGAAAACAACCAUUACGAUCAUAGUAGGCGAACUGAAAUUGUAGGGAUAUAAAGCAGUACCUGAACAUACAAAAGCUGGCCACAACUCUGUCUUCAAUUCCAUCUUGUUUCCAGAUUUCAGGAGUAGAUCAUCACCACCAUUACAGAUCAGGCUCUUUGUCAGUGCAAAUAACAGACUAACACCACAAGGACUUCAUUAACCUUAGCCACUUCUUAUGGGUACAUGAGAACUAAAAAAAUUCAUCUGUUAAAAUUUGUUUUUUUUGACUUUUUGGACUAAUUCAUGUGCAGAAUUUAUAUUUUCAAUUAGACUGAUUUAUUGUAGUUUUAUCAACGACUAUAGUAUAUUAAGAUGUGGGCACUAUAUCGAAAGUGUUGUUCUACACCCGAGGUCAUGUGAGCUUGGUUGAACAGUAAAAGAAAUAAAAAAUGGAAAAACAAUUCAAAAAAUGUGAUUUCUUUCCGUGUGAGACACUGAAAAAAUGUUUAUUAGCUUGCAAAAUUUCAAUACUAUCUUUCUUGACUGAUUGUUUGUGGUCUGCCAUGAGCCCACGACGUAGCCAUCUGCAUCUGCCUCGCCUUGAGGCCACAGCAGCACCCCUGCCCUUCUGCUCCUGCUGGCGACCGCAACCCUCUGGCGGCAGCAACACCGCUCUCGUGUGCUGGCCUUGCUGUCUCAUCUCCUCUCUCUCUCAUGUUUGGGUAUGAUGUUAGCGUUAUGUGUGUGUGGAUGGAUAUGAUGCUACCAUGGUGUGUGUAAAAAUCUAUUUUUGGUUUAUUUCUCUUUGGAGUAUUGCUGUUGGAGAUGAGCUUAAGAGGCGAAAGAGUAAAGAUCUGGUAAGCUGUUUGUAUUGCUUCAGGAGAAUCUUUUAUCACUGUUUUUGGGACUGUAUUUAUGUCAAAGAGGCAUGUAGGGAGCUGGAACAAAUUUGUUACUUCUCAUGGCCACUUUUUUGAACAUGAUUAUUGAGCUUGACUAUGCGGAGGUAGGAAAAAAUAUCAGCGUAAUGGGUUUGAGAGA
Long non-coding RNA from Triticum dicoccoides, 4331 nucleotides. RefSeq lists it as uncharacterized. The transcript has 4 exons. The record is from RefSeq and is a predicted model, not a curated record. NCBI's taxonomy places the organism in Eukaryota, Viridiplantae, Streptophyta, Magnoliopsida, Poales, Poaceae.